RNAcentral lists this ribosomal RNA (491 nucleotides) under uncultured bacterium. Its description in RNAcentral is "partial 16S ribosomal RNA". It matches the Rfam family "Bacterial small subunit ribosomal RNA", at positions 29 to 506 of the family's 1533-position model. The record is from RNAcentral.
AGUGAACGCUGGCGGUAGGCCUAACACAUGCAAGUCGAACGGCAGCGCAGUAAGAGCUUGCUCUUACGGGUGGCGAGUGGCGGACGGGUGAGGAAUACAUCGGAAUCUACUUUUUCGUGGGGGAUAACGUAGGGAAACUUACGCUAAUACCGCAUACGACCUACGGGUGAAAGCAGGGGAUCUUCGGACCUUGCGCGAUUGAGUGAGCCGAUGUCGGAUUAGCUAGUUGGCGGGGUAAAGGCCCACCAAGGCGACGAUCCGUAGCUGGUCUGAGAGGAUGAUCAGCCACACUGGAACUGAGACACGGUCCAGACUCCUACGGGAGGCAGCAGUGGGGAAUAUUGGACAAUGGGCGCAAGCCUGAUCCAGCCAUACCGCGUGGGUGAAGAAGGCCUUCGGGUUGUAAAGCCCUUUUGUUGGGAAAGAAAAGCAGCAGGUUAAUACCCCGCUGUUCUGACGGUACCCAAAGAAUAAGCACCGGCUAACUUCGU